Molecule: ribosomal RNA, 376 nt
Filed under: uncultured organism
Description: partial 16S ribosomal RNA
Rfam family: Bacterial small subunit ribosomal RNA
Source: RNAcentral
GUAGGUGGCAAGCGUUGUCCGGAAUUAUUGGGCGUAAAGCGCGCGCAGGCGGUCCUUUAAGUCUGAUGUGAAAGCCCACGGCUCAACCGUGGAGGGUCAUUGGAAACUGGGGGACUUGAGUACAGAAGAGGAAAGCGGAAUUCCAAGUGUAGCGGUGAAAUGCGUAGAGAUUUGGAGGAACACCAGUGGCGAAGGCGGCUUUCUGGUCUGUAACUGACGCUGAGGCGCGAAAGCGUGGGGAGCAAACAGGAUUAGAUACCCUGGUAGUCCACGCCGUAAACGAUGAGUGCUAAGUGUUAGGGGGUUUCCCGCCCCCCUUAGUGCUGCAGCUAACGCAUUAAGCACUCCGCCUGGGGGUAGUACGGCCGCAAGGCUG